This 463-nucleotide ribosomal RNA is filed under the name uncultured bacterium. RNAcentral's name for it is "bacterial SSU rRNA". It matches the Rfam family "Bacterial small subunit ribosomal RNA", at positions 29 to 532 of the family's 1533-position model. The record is from RNAcentral.
AGCGGACGCUGGCGGCAGGCCUAACACAUGCAAGUCGAACGGAUCCUUCGGGAUUAGUGGCGGACGGGUGAGUAACACGUGGGAACGUGCCUUUUGGUUCGGAACAACUCAGGGAAACUUGAGCUAAUACCGAAUGUGCCCUUCGGGGGAAAGAUUUAUCGCCAUUAGAGCGGCCCGCGUCUGAUUAGCUAGUUGGUGGGGUAAAGGCUCACCAAGGCUACGAUCAGUAGCUGGUCUGAGAGGAUGAUCAGCCACAUUGGGACUGAGACACGGCCCAAACUCCUACGGGAGGCAGCAGUGGGGAAUCUUGCGCAAUGGGCGAAAGCCUGACGCAGCCAUGCCGCGUGAAUGAUGAAGGUCUUAGGAUUGUAAAAUUCUUUCACCGGGGACGAUAAUGACGGUACCCGGAGAAGAAAGCCCCGGCUAAACUUCGUGCCAGCAGCCGCGGUAAUAGUCAACGUCG